UGCGGUGUCGUCUAAUGGUAGGACGGAAGACUUUGAAUCUUCUAGUGAUGGUUCGAAUCCAUCCACCGCAGCCA
This 74-nucleotide transfer RNA is filed under the name Pseudomonadota bacterium. RNAcentral's name for it is "tRNA-Gln". It matches the Rfam family "tRNA". From Rfam's summary of the family: Transfer RNA (tRNA) molecules are approximately 80 nucleotides in length. Their secondary structure includes four short double-helical elements and three loops (D, anti-codon, and T loops). The record is from RNAcentral. Lineage: Bacteria; Pseudomonadati; Pseudomonadota.